GGUGGCUCAGUGGUAGAGCACUUGCCUUGCAUGCAUGAGGCCUGGGUUCAAUUCCUCAGCACCA
Dipodomys ordii (Ord's kangaroo rat) is the source of this 64-nucleotide non-coding RNA. The record is from Rfam. NCBI's taxonomy places the organism in Eukaryota, Metazoa, Chordata, Mammalia, Rodentia, Heteromyidae.